RNAcentral lists this ribosomal RNA (736 nucleotides) under uncultured soil bacterium. RNAcentral describes it as "bacterial SSU rRNA". It matches the Rfam family "Bacterial small subunit ribosomal RNA", at positions 32 to 769 of the family's 1533-position model. The record is from RNAcentral.
AACGCUGGCGGCGUGCAUAACACAUGCAAGUCGAACGAGUUUAUUUGAGAUUAUAUCAAUGAUAGACUAGUGGCAGACGAGUGAGUAACACGUAAGGAAUCCACCCCGGAAUGGAGGAUAACUAGCCGAAAGGUUAGCUAAUACUCCAUACGAUCCUUGGAUGGCAUCAUUCGAGGAUGAAAGUUUUUCGUUCUGGGACGACCUUGCGGCCUAUCAGCUAGUUGGCGGUGUAACGGACCACCAAGGCUAUGACGGGUACCUGGCCUGAAAGGGCGGACGGGCACGGAGGCACUGAGACACGGGCCUCACUCCUACGGGAGGCAGCAGUGGGGAAUUUUGGACAAUGGGGGAAACCCUGAUCCAGCAACGCCGCGUGAGGGAUGAAGGCCUGAGGGUCGUAAACCUCUUUUAUACGGGACGAAAACCCGCAAGGGAUUGACGGUACCGUGUGAAUAAGCCCCGGCUAAAUAUGUGCCAGCAGCCGCGGUAAGACAUAUGGGGCAAGCGUUACUCGGAAUUACUAGGCGUAAAGCGUGUGUAGGCGGACAACUAAGUUCGGCGUGAAAUCUCCCGGCCUAACUGGGAGGGGUCGCCGAAGACUGGAUGUCUUGAGUGAGGUAGGGGGAACCGGAAUUCCUGGUGUAGCGGUGAAAUGCGUAGAUAUCAGGAGGAACACCGGUGGCGAAAGCGGGUUCCUGGGCCUUUACUGACGCUGAGACACGAAAGCUAGGGUAGU